Long non-coding RNA from Megalobrama amblycephala (Wuchang bream), 509 nucleotides. RefSeq lists it as uncharacterized. The record is from RefSeq and is a predicted model, not a curated record. The transcript has 3 exons. NCBI's taxonomy places the organism in Eukaryota, Metazoa, Chordata, Actinopteri, Cypriniformes, Xenocyprididae.
UGUUAAAUGUUGGUUAUAUACUAUACUUUUAAUCUUUGUUGUAUUGCAAAACUGGCCUUAAAGUAUUUUUUACAAUUUGCUAUAUGCUAUAAAGCGAUAUGUUUUUUUGUAAUAGAAUUUAGGCUGUUAAUGACUUUGCCUUUCAGUGGAUCUUUUUUUCUUUGUUUGUUUUCUGUUUUGGUGAAAUUACUCAUCUCUGGUUGUUUUUCAGGCUUCAGACCUGUCAGCGCCUCUGACAGUGUUACAGUUCCAAAUGGAUAAAGAUGAGACCAGAUGUGUGGGAGAGAUGAAGUUGAAAAAAUUAUACUUAUCCUGCUGUCCUUCCAGCUUAAACUGUAUAUAACACACACACACACACACACACACACACACACACACACAGACAGAGAGAGGAGCAGAUAUUUCUGGGAUGGGAACAGAAAGUGUGAAUAAACAACUUUAGUUUUUAGGUGUAAUGUAGAACCGUGAGAUCUCUUCUGAUUCUACAUUAAUUACAUAUAUUUUUUUUU